AUCUAGCCGACGAGUCCCAAAUAGGACGAAACGCGCGUCCUGGAU
Molecule: non-coding RNA, 45 nt
Organism: Schistosoma haematobium
Lineage: Eukaryota; Metazoa; Platyhelminthes; Trematoda; Strigeidida; Schistosomatidae
Source: Rfam